AAGGUCUUAGCUUAAUUAAAGCAUCUGGGUUGCAUUCAGAUAAUGUGGGGUAGAGUCCUACAGGUCUUA
RNAcentral lists this transfer RNA (69 nucleotides) under Pseudohynobius flavomaculatus (yellow-spotted salamander). RNAcentral's name for it is "tRNA-Ala". It matches the Rfam family "tRNA". From Rfam's summary of the family: Transfer RNA (tRNA) molecules are approximately 80 nucleotides in length. Their secondary structure includes four short double-helical elements and three loops (D, anti-codon, and T loops). Lineage: Eukaryota; Metazoa; Chordata; Amphibia; Caudata; Hynobiidae. The record is from RNAcentral.